Molecule: long non-coding RNA, 41558 nt
Filed under: Ananas comosus (pineapple)
Lineage: Eukaryota; Viridiplantae; Streptophyta; Magnoliopsida; Poales; Bromeliaceae
Description: long non-coding RNA (ACOM_LNC000299)
Rfam family: Small nucleolar RNA R16 (bases 21980-22060)
Source: RNAcentral
UGUUAAAAGGUUCAGUUUUAUAAUGUCCCAUAGUUGAGGGGUCUUUAUGCAUAUUCUUAAUAUACUUUACAGUAGCUGUACAGCUGUACUUAUCUGAUACAUCACGUACAAAUCAACUCCGACAUAGAGAACACCAAAGCCCGUUCACAUUAUUGAGAUUAAGAACCAUUCUCAGUAAUAAAUAACAAUACAUUUCUCGUGCCUUCUAUGUCAGGGGAAUCUAUAUAAAGUUAGAAAAAAGUGUUCGCACGUGCCAAGAAAAUGAUUUUGGAGCUCAACUAAUUUUGACAAAUUUGAGAUUUUUUUUUUUUAGAAAAAAAAGUAGCAAACUAUCUGCUUCAUUUAUUAAGUGAAAUGAACUAAGCUUGCAAGGUGGAAGCAGCUAAGGCUUCCAAGAGGAGAAAAAAUGGCAGAAAAAGAUAAAAUGAAAGAAAAAGAACGGGAGAUAAGACAAGACAAUAAGCAGAAAAAGAUGAUAGCGGAUCGUGGACAAAUUUGAGGUAUUAAAAUGAUAAAACAGAUAGAACAUUAUUUUUCUCCCUUUAUAUAUAUAUAUAGUCCUGCUGGGAUACUAUCGAUAGCACCAAGUAUUUGGUGCUAUCAAAUUUUUUGCCGUUCGAUUUAACUCUUUGACUAUUUUCACCUGUUAAAUUAUACUAUUAAACUAAUAACUCACUGAACCUUAGGGGGUUCACAUGAUCCUAACCGUACAUUUUUUUUAUCCAACGGCCGAAAACCUAAUAGCACUAAUAAUUUGGUGCUAUUGAUAGUAUUCAAGCCUAGGUCUAUAUAUAUAUAUAUAUAUAUAUAUAUAUAUAUAGAGAGAGAGAGAGAGAGAGAGAGAGAGAGAGAGAGAGAGAGAGAGUUGAGCUGGAAUGCUAUCGGAAGCAAACGAGUUCCGUUGUCACCCAUUUGUUUUCGAUAAUGGAUCAUCCAAAUCGACGAUCAGCACAAUUAAACAUGAUUUAUACCACUCGAAGCUUCUAGAUUCCAAAUUUCAUAUUUUUUUCGAUAUUGUUCUCUUAUCCAUCAAAUGGACUAAAAAAUGACCGGCUGAAAAUAAAUAUCCUUUAAAAAGUGAUGAUAAGAGUCUUGUAAUCAAGAUCAAGAGUAUAGAUCUUAUUCUAAAUAGUUUAAAGAAUUUUCUAACCAAAAUUCAAUUGAUUUGGAUAUCUUUACACCGUUAAACGAGAAAACGCCUUAUAUCGACCAUUAAAAUUACAAAUUUUGAAACCCUUUGAUCAUUAGGUCAAUGAUGUCGAAAANAAGAUUUGAAAUUUAGUUUUUAGAUACUUCAAGUGGUAUAAAUCAUGUUCAACAGUACCGAUCGUUAAUUUAGAGACUUUAUCAUUGAAAGCAAAUGAAUGACAACGGAGCUCGUUUGCUAUUGAUAUCAUUCCAGCUCAACUAUAUAUAUAUAUAUAUAUAUAUAUAUAUAUAUAUAUAUAUAUAUAUAUAUAUAGUUGAACUAAAAUACUAUCGGUAGCAAACGGGCUCCGUUGCCACCUAUUUAUUUUCGAUGAUGGAGCCUCCAAAUCGACGAUCGGAACCAUUGAAUAUAAUCUAUACCACUUGAAGUAUCUAGAAAUCAAAUUUCCUGAUUUUUUGAUAUUGUUCUCUUGUCCAUCAAGUGAGCGUAAAAAUGAACGGCUGAAAAUGAAUAUCCUCUAAAAAAUAAUGAUAGGAAUUUUAUAAUCAAGAUCGAAAGUAUAGAUCUUAUUCUAAAUAGUUUAAAAAAUUUUCUAACCAAAAUUCAAUUUAUUUGGAUAGCUUUACACCGUUAAACAAAAAAACGCCUUAUAUCUAUCAUUAAAAUUACAAAUUUUGAAACCCUUUGAUCAUUAGGUCAGUGAUGUCGAAAUGAUUUGAAAUUUGGUUUCUAGAUACUUCAAGUAGUAUAGAUCAUGUUCAAUGGUGCCGAUCGUCAAUUUAAAGGCUUCAUCAUCGAAAACAAAUGGGUGACAACGAAGCUAGUUUGCUACUGAUAGCAUUCCAGCUCAACUGUCUCUAUAUAUGUAUGUAUGUAUAUAUAUAUAUAUAUAUAUAUAUAUAUAUAUAUAUAUAUAUAUAUAUACAUAUAUACAUAUACACGCGCACACACAUACUGAUUGAAUACAUUUAUCAAACUUAUGGACAUAGAUAGUUUCGUUUAUGGUUCUGCUUUCUAUCAAACUCAUGGAUUUCUAUGAGUUGCUCUAGUUUGGAAAUCUUUGCUGAUUCUGCCCACUGCGUAAGAGGUUUUUCACGAUUUUAGAUCAUCAAUUGGAUGAGUAAUCGACAGAAUUCGUGGUAUGUGAAUAUAAGAUAAAUUAGGUGCAGGCAAUAAGUGUUAUGAUUAAAAUACAAAAAAUUCUCAUAUAAAUAUUUAUUUCAUCACUUUUUUUUUCCUUAACUUUUAAGAUUUAUAUUUUGCUUUUUCAUAAUUUUAAAAAUAUUUUUAGUAUUUUACAGCGUUAAUGGAAAGGGUGAAAUAGCAAAACCGCCCUUACUUAUUCUAUAGAGGAAAAAAGAUAAUAUAUUUAGAUGAAAUAAUAAAGGAACCUUGACUUGAAGAGGGGGCUUAAGUGCAUCAAUUUAAAAUUUUAAAAAUUUUAAGAGGAUAAAAUAGAAGAUUUUAAAAUUUAGAAAGAAAGUGAAAACAUGGGUAUUUACACUCAAUUUUUUUAUACUUUAGCCUGAGAAUCAAAAUGAAAAAUAAUGCAAUUCAUUGUUGUUUGUCGAUUAUAUUCCCGCACAAGAGAAGCUGUUCAAGGGAGUACUGUUCCAAAUUAAAAGCACUUACUAAGAGUACUAUUUUUAAAGGAACCCUAGUUAGGUCAAACAAUUUUGAGAGUCUAUAAGAUUCUAUUAAUUUUGUCUUAGUUUGUGGACAAAUCAAGAUUCAAAGUAAAGCAGUUAAGGUUUCAAUUCAAAGGAUCAUGAUGAAGUGACAGGUGUGUUUACUUUGUUUUUCUUUUUUUUUUUGUUUUUUUUUGGCUAUUUUGUUUUGUUUUGUUUUUUUAUUUUUUUGAGAGAUAGAUAGCACGCUACCCGCUUCGUUUAUUUCAUUUAGAAAUAAACUUAGCUAGAAAUGUGAAUCAACUAGGAUUCGAACUUGGGUCUCGGGUAUCAACCACUAAGCUCUUUGCCACUUGUUUUAGGGACGGUCGGUUUUGUCUUUUGUGGCCAUUUUGUUGUUGAUAGAUUUUGUAGGGAGGCUCUGAUGACACGUUGCAGGUAGAAAUAUCAGAAAUAACUUAAAUUGUUUUGAAUUUUCAAUUGAGUGGUGGCUGACGGUAACAGACGGUGUGUCUCGCUCAUAUUACUAAAGUUGUUUUGAAGUGCGAAUUGAAUAGUAUGUGAUAAUAAUGGAUACAAUGUAUCUCGCUCAUAUCACUAAAUUUAUUUUGAAAUUCGAACUGAGCCUGAUUGUGAUGGAAACGCAUUUGAUAAAAUGUUUUUGUUGCCCAAAAGACAUUUUACACCUCGUAUAAAAAAAUAUGUUGGUUUUUUCUAUAUUUUCUUUUUGGCUAUGUAUCAAUUUUCUUUUCAUCAAACUGUGAGGCACACGACAUAUUAGUAUUCAAACUUUUUUUAUAUAAUUUUUGGGUUAAUUUUUAUAAAUUAUUAUAAUCAUGUGCCCAAAAUGCUUAAGCCCAGUUAUUAUUACUAGUGUCUAAGUCUCUUAUAAACCCAAUGACAACCUCUUUCCCAUCCGAUGUGACUCGCCACACAUGUCCAGCUGGUGAACUCGUUGGGCCCAAUCACUGGUUCAAAAUGCUUAAUCCUAGGACUACUCCCGUCCUAGCACGCUUAACUCUCUUAACCUCUUGGGCCUUGCCACCAACCAAAAUGCUUAAGCCCAGUUAUUAUUACUAGUGUCUAAGUCUCUUAUAAACCCAAUGACAACUCCUUUCCUAUCCGAUGUGGGAUUAUUGGGAUGUCACAAAUCAAGUCUCAUUAGAUAAUUUACUUGACUGAAAAUUAAUGUAUCGCUGAUAGAAUAGCAAUUAAUAAUAUGACAAUAACUAUAAUACCACAUACAUUCCCUACCUAUGAAAAUGUCUCCCGAAACUAAUAUAAUAUCUACCUUUGUCUUAUAUUUGAAUCCUAUCUUAUUUUAACCUUAGUUUAAUCAAAUCCUAAUAAAAAUUUACCAAAUGUCGUUGCUAAUUACAAAACAACAUGUAAUUUUGGUUCACUAAUUCCAACAUAAGCCCAUUAAAAAAAUAGGAGGUGCAAAUGAGGUCUACAUGUUAGCUUGUCAGCAUUGCAAACCCUAGCACUACUCAGUUAGUUUGUCAUCAGCAUUGCAAACCCUAGGACGACUCCGCUAGGGCUAUAAAUUAUCAAAAAUAUUAUCUUUAUAUAUUAUUAAUAUUUAUCGGCAUAUGUUAUGUUUGUCUUUAUAUAUUAACGAUAUAGCAGCAUCUAUUACUUUUAAAGAUGUUACAUCCUUCACAUUAAAAUUUAUUGAUAACUUUGAAACAAUUUGAAUUCAAAGUUUAAAUUGAAAUUCUUAACUAAAAAUACUUUUAUUAAAAUUUAAAUUUUAAACUUUAAAUUUAGAUUAAAUUUAAAUAAAAAUAAAUAUUUAAAUAUAUAGAGUUAAAUAUAAAGUUACAAAUUUGAAUUUAAAAAUUUUAUGUUGAAUUUGAAUUUACAAAUAAAAUUCAGAACGUGAUCAUGAUUUUAAUUUAAAUUUAAAGUAAAAUUCAUUUUAAAAAUAAUUUCCAAGAUUAAAGUUAAGGCUAAAGAUAAUCUUUUAGCUAAGCUUUUCAUUUUCGAUAACUUCCAAAUUUUUUAUGCCGAAGUUAGAAAAAUGAGAUUUAGUUAUAACUCACUUUAUCAGCUAAUUUUUGUAAAGUGAUUUUCAUAUUCACUUUCGCAGACCAGUGCAAAUAAAACAAUCGAUAAAUCGUCACUUUCAAAAGUACUACUUUCGAUACUUCACUUUCGGACAACACAUUUAAUAAGGUUUGUCCGUUCCACUUUAGAAAAUUUAAAAGAACUAAAAUAUCACUGAUCAUAUUUCAGCUGGUGUCACCAUUUUCGAUCCAGUUUUAUUUCGUUCUCAUGCAAAGUUAUGAAUGAAUUUUUAAAAUAAAGUUUGUCCGAUUCUUAUAUAAACUAUAUUCGAUUCAUUCAACAUGCUAGCAAAAGCCCAGUAUGCGUCGAGAGAGUGUGUUAAGAUGAUAUCUGUAUCUUACGAUUUAAAUUUUUACAGAAUAACAGAUCUUAUAAAAUAUAAAAAUGAUUACCUUGAUUUUAAGAAAAGAAAUCAAACUGCGUGUCAGAAACUGAAGUUUUUAAUUUUAAAAUUCAACAACCAACACAUUUAAUAACUCAUGAUAAAUAAAUAUCUCGAGGGACCUUAAAUUACUCGAACAGGAACAUGAAUUACUCGAAAAGGACCUAAAAAUUAGUAAAUUAUUUCUCAUAAAUACAUAAAUACAUGAGUUAAUGUUCUUUGAAUUUCGUGCACGAGAAUCCGUAUUUCACUCGAGCACGCAACUCAUUAACCACUAACUUAUAUACAGCUGUAGCUGUACUAUUGAAAGAUACAUAGUUACAUCAAAACUACUGUUGCAUACUUUUUUUUUAAAGAAAAAAUUUAUAUUAUAUCAAUGCAAAAUUUUUAAAUUUUUGAAUAUGUUUCUAUCAAAUUUUAAUUAUUUAAAUGUAUCUUUUUAAAAGUUUGUAAUUUAUAAAUUUAUUCUUAUAAAUUAAUCAUCACUAAUUGACCAUUGAAUUUUAAUCGUUAGGGCCAAUAUCAAAACAAUGCAUGGAACCCGCUAAGGAGUGGGAAUUACGUACCCAUUACGUUAGUUAAUUAAAAAUUAAUUAGCGGAUUAAUUCAUUGAUUAAUAAUUAAUAUAAUUGCUUAUUCCACAAUUAAUUAAUCAAUCAAUAUAGUAAUUUAUUUUAAAUAACUAAUUAAUUAACUUAUUAAAUGUUAAUUAAUUUAUUAAAUUAUUAAAAUUUUAUUUAAUUGAUAGUUUGAUGCUAAUUAACUAGGUAAAAUAUUUUUUAAAAAAAUGUAUAAAUCCUCUUAUUCCCAACUAAUUUUAAAAAAAUACUUUUUAAAAUUAUAUUUUUUUAAAAAAAUUAUUGUUUAAACUCUACAAUUUAAAGGUGUAUAUAUAGCAGUUUAAUCCAACUAAUUUAUGAACACGCAGUCCUUGUACUACCCAAUAUUAUUACGUUUGGUUUGCAUAUCUUAUCCUUUUAGUUUCGAGUUUUAAUUAUCCUAUACAUAUGUCUUAGUUCUAAGUAUAAUUAAUUUUUCGAUCUUUCUUAUUAAAUUAAAGAAUUAUAUACUUAUGGUGUUAAGUCAUCUAUUUAAUUAAUUAAUAACUGGAUUCUUUGCGGAUCAGGUUAGAAACUUUUACUCAAUUACCAAAUGGAUCUGAUUUGCACAUGUAAUUUAUAUGCUUAUAACACAUAUCUUCUUUGAUAUGACCCGUUAACCCCUCCACCCGAAUUACCAUUUUCACCCGAAUUACCAUUCUUAUUCGCAUUCAAUAUUGUUAUAGAUCGAAUAUAUAGGAAUAUUUACCCAUACAUAAAUGUAUAAUUCAUUAAAAUUAAUAUUCCAGGGAGUGACAAGGGGUUUAAUUAAUUCCCUUUGACAAUGUCAUUACAUUUUGGAGAAAUUUGUCGACAAAAUAGUGCAUAAAUUCUAGGAGACUGCUAUCAUCCUAACUCUAUAAUUUUUAAUCGAAGGGUUAAAAACUCGAUAGCAAAAUAGCUCAAAUAUUAUUAAUAAUAUUCCAGCCCUAUAUAUAUAUAUAUAUAUAUAUAUAUAUAUAAGAAAUACUAUCAAUAUCACUAAGUUAUUGGUGCUUAAAUGAAAAAAAAUGUAUGGUUAGGAUGAUAUGGACUCCCUGGAAUUGAGUGAGUUAUUGGUUGAAUAGUAUAAUCUAAGAGGUGAAAAUAGUUAAAGGGUUAAAUCCAACUGCAGAAAAACUCGAUAACACUAAAAGCUUGGUACUAUUGAUAGUAUCUCAGCUGGACUCUAUGUGCGCGCGCGCACUGCGGUGUGUACGUGUGUGGGGCAUGCAUUGGCCAAAGUGAAUUCAUGGUGAACAGUGAACAAAUUAAGAAAUUUUAAUUUUCUUUUUGACUGUACAAAUUUAAGGAUCAUGGCUUGAAGAGUGAACAAAUUUCUCUAAAAAUGUUAUGAAUUUAAAUUUUUUUUAGAGAUAGAUAGUAUGCUACUCGCUUCGUUUAUUUUAUUUAAAAAUAAACUUAGCUGAAAAUGUAAAUUAACUAGAAUUCAAACUUGAAACUUCCGGUACCAACCACCAACACACGCAAACGCGCGCGCACGCACACUUAUUAGAUAAUGUAAGGGCAUAGGUUAACUUAUUGGAUAAUGUAAGGGCAUAGGUUAUUUGUAAAAUUUUAGGCAUGAAAAUAUUAUGUACAGGAUUAUUGCACCUCAAAUAUGAGGCUAAUUGCAUCGAAUAGUCCAAAUGCACUCAAUGUCACGUAAGAAGUGCGAUUGCAUCCUGCAUGCGUAGGAUUUUUCUGUGCUUAAUCUUUAAAAUUUGUAUUUGCAUAUAUUUGAGUAAAAGUUAUGGAUGCAUUAUUAGAAGGGUCACAAAAUCAUCUAAUUAGAGAGAAAAUUUUCUAUUUGACAAUUAUUUCAAUUAAAAAUAACAACAAAUUUUUUAAACACAUUAUUUUCAUAUAAAAUUUCUAUAUAAUAUAUUUUUGUUUAGACCUUUUACUAGCUGUCUCAAGUAUAUUCUAUCUGAUAUAACUGAUAAAGAAAGAUUUUUUUUUAAAAAAAAAUAUUAUGAUAAAGACAUAUUUUGAUCCUAUACAAAUUUAAGGCCAUUUUUAAUUAAACUCUAUCUCCAUUAUUUAUUGUUUCUAUUCAUAUUACUUUUUUUUUUUUGCCAACAUAUUUUUUGGGCUAUUUGUGGAACUAUUUCUAAAAACAAGUGGAUAUGAUUAUUAAUGAUUAUUAAUGUCACAUAUAAUCAUAUCUUUCCACUUAAUUAUAACCUAUCACACUAUAUGUAGAAGAGCAUAUCACGAGAGUUAAAUAUAUCCAUUUUUAUUUUAAUUUUCUUUAAAAUUAUAAGUGCAUUAUCUUAUUACGUCACACUUUAGGAUAAAAAUAGUAAUAUGUUUCCAUUUUGUGGAGUGAAAUAAAUGAAAACGUCGAAUGAAUUACAUGUGAACAUAUAUCAAUGUUCAUUGCAUAAAAUUAAUGCAUUUUAUUUUUAUUUUAUUUUAUUUUAUUUUUUUAUGGAUAUUAACAACUACCAAGUACCAAACGGGUUUAUUUUUCAACGGUUAUUUACACCCCCGGUGAGGUGGUUACGGUUUCCUCUCCCCUAUAAUGGAUAUUCGCUAUGUAUAAUGGAUUAUCCGCUAUGUGCAAAAUAGAUAAAAUAAUAUGGCUAAAAUUGCAAAGAGACCCCUCAGCUAUAGAACGUGGUGAAGUAAGCCCCUGGCUGUUGUCUAUUUUGUUUGACACUUCCUCGUUUUUUAUUUCAUUUUUAUUAUACUAAUUAUUUCAAUAGAAAUUGAAAUGAAAAUCUAAUAAAAGUAUUCUAUAUAUCAAAUUUCAUGAUUUUUAAUUAAUAAGUAUGUUUGAAGAAAGGUAGAUUUUAUUAAUAAUUAAUAAUUAAUAGCAAUAAAAUAGUUUUUGGAUUUAUUUUUUUUGAAGUUGUUGCUCAAUUAUAUGCCAUCCGAACUAGACCUUUUCAACUUUAAAUUUUUUUGUAAAAUUUAUAAUUAAUUAAAGUUAAAAAUUUUGUUAAAUCUUAUGACCAAUUGGCUAUAUAUAUUAGCAGUUAAUUAAUUCGUCUUUAUUCGUUAUAAAUUAGUUCAAACUAUAACUAUUAAUAAAAUUAUUUAAUCAGUUUAGUAAAAAUUUUAAUUUAUUUGAGUAAAAUCACCUGAUUCUUAAAAAUUAGAAGUUGAGGAGGCCUCAAUGUAAAAAAUCCUUGAGGGAGGUAUUUCCAAAUAGCCUAUAGUUGAGGAGUCUCCGUAUACUUUUACAUAAAAUAAUUCACACAUGGACAAAUUAGCUUUGGAAAAGUCAGCAUGUACAAAAAAAAUCCAUUUUUUUAAGAUAUUUUGUUUUCCUACCCAAGCAAUGCUACAUGUACACCUAAAAAAUAUAUAAAAUUCUAAAAAAUUUUAUUAUUUUUUAAUAUUAAAAUUUUAAAAGGAACAUUUAAAUCUUAGAUGAAUAUGUAUAAAAUUUAUUUUACUCUUAAAUCUACAGUAGCAAUUCUCUUUUAGGUAAAAACAUGCCGAAUUUACUUAAACUAUAAAUAGACUAUUUUAAUUUGGCUAUGUAAUCUUUCGAAUUUUAGUUUUUCUAUCAAACCUCUCAAUUUGUUUAAUUCGAGUCAGUCAAUAAUAAUUUGACUUCAAAAUUUAAAUAUAUUAUUUAUCUCUACAUAUUUAGUUAGCAUAUUUAAUACAGUUUGAGCAACUGUGAAUUUAUUGAAAUAAAUAAUUAACUUAAAUUUUAGAGUUAAAGUAUUAUUAAUCGACUCAAAUUAGAUAAAUUACAAAAUUAUAUAGUAAAAUUAAAAUUUUAAAAUAUUUAUUGCUGAUUCAAAAAUAGUUCAUAACUCAGAUAAAUUUUACACAUUUUACCUUUUCUUUAUACAUGUGUGUUACAUUACACCAGGGUGGUGAUAGGAUCCCACACCGUUUUGGUCUAUAUAACCCCAUCACCAGCUCACUCCAUAUGAGAGUGCCCAUGUCCAUUUAGACACUCCUCACCUUCCUCUUCUCCCUCUCUCUCUCUCUCUCUCUCUCUCUCUCUCUCUCUCUCUCUCUCUCUCUCUCUCUCUCCCCAUAUAUAACAAUGGCUAAUCCAAACCCAGAAGCUAAAGUUAUAACUGGUUCUACUCCACCGCAGCCGCAACCGCCGCCACCGCCGCAGCCGACGAAUUCGUUACCGGAAGAAGCAAUAGUUCCGGGGGUGAAGAAGCGCCAGAAUGUGAGGUUCGCCUUCGCCUGCGCCACCCUUGCCUCCAUGACCUCCAUCCUCUUAGGCUAUGGUAAAAGAUAUGUUAAUAUAUGUAUCCAAAUUUUUUUUAAGGACUAAUGUGCAAAAAGAUAUAUAUAUAUAUAUAUAUAUAUAGAGAGAGAGAGAGAGAGAGAGAGAGAGAGAGAGAGAGACUCUGUGAUCAUUGAAUGCGUAGGUUGAAUAGCUGGUUAGCAUAAUAAUAAUAAUUUAAAAAUAAAUAAGUGUAUAUAUAAUAUGUACUAUUAAUAGUAUCAACUCUCUUUCUCUCUAGUUUGGUUUGAUAUAUAUGUAUAAGAAAGGAUUUGUUUGGCCGAGCUUUUAUAUGCUGGGACUUACUUUGUGCCUAAAUAGGCUAUUUGGUUUAGAUAAUCUAAGCGUUCACACUCUAAAUUUUAAUUUAAUUAUCUACUUUGUGACAGACAGAAAAAUCAGAAUAUAAUUAAGAUUCGAAGUUUGAGUUUUGGAUGAUAAUUAUUUUUCUUCCGAACAAAUUUUAAAUUUUUUUUAGUUGCAUGGAAAAACAAGGUGGGAAAAUAUUUUUCGGGGUAUAUGUAAAUUAAAUUUUGGGGAAGAUAAAUAUAUAUAUAUUUUUCAUUUUCUAAAUUUUUUUUAAUGAAAAUACAAAUAAAUAAAUUCCGCUAGCUAUAUGCAUGCAAUUGUAAAUGAGCGUAAUUACUUACUGCAGACAUCGGGGUGAUGAGCGGGGCGGUGCUGUUCAUUCAGAAGGACUUGAAGAUCAGCGACACGCAGGUGGAGGUCCUGACGGGCAUCCUCAACCUCUACUCGCUGGUCGGCUCCUUCGCCGCCGGCCGCACCUCCGACUGGAUCGGCCGCCGCUACACCAUCGUCUUCGCCUCCGCCAUCUUCUUCGCCGGCGCCCUCCUCAUGGGCUUCGCCCCCAACUACGCCCUCCUCAUGCUCGGCCGCUUCGUUGCCGGCAUCGGCGUCGGCUACGCCCUCAUGAUCGCCCCCGUCUACACCGCCGAGGUCUCCCCCGCCUCCUCCCGCGGCUUCCUCACCUCCUUCCCCGAGGUAUAUAUAAGUUUAAGCUGUCAGAGAACGGUAUUUACUUAUUUUAUGUAUUAUUGAAAAAUUUAUGUAAUGUUUCGUGAUGUACGAUAAAUUAAUAAACAGGUGUUCAUCAAUACGGGUAUCCUGAUCGGCUACAUCUCGAACUACGCCUUCUCGCACCUGCCGCUGAACCUCGGGUGGCGGUUCAUGCUGGGCGUGGGCGCGAUCCCGUCCGUGUUCCUGGCCGUGGGCGUGCUGGCGAUGCCGGAGUCGCCGCGGUGGCUGGUGAUGAAGGGCCGGCUGGCGGAGGCCGCGUCGGUGCUGCACCGCACGUCCGACACCGCCGAAGAGGCCGAGCUGCGCCUGCUCGACAUCAAGAAGGCGGCCGGCGUCCCCGCCGGCUGCACCGACGACUUCUUCGCGCCCGCCAAGCGGCAGCGCGGCGGCGAGAGCGUCUGGAAGGAGCUGUUCCUCCGCCCGACGCCGCCCGUGCGCCGCAUCCUCGUCACCGCCCUCGGCAUUCACUUCUUCCAGCAGGCCUCCGGCAUCGACUCCGUCGUGCUGUACAGCCCCCGCGUGUUCCAGAAGGCCGGCAUCACCGACAAGAACAAGCUGCUCGGCACCACCGUCGCGGUCGGCUUCGUCAAGACGCUCUUCAUCCUCGUCGCCACGUUCCUGCUCGACCGCGUCGGCCGGCGGCCGCUCCUGCUCAGCAGCACCGGCGGAAUGGUGGCGUCGCUGGCGGGGCUGGGCAUCGGGCUGACGGUGAUCGGUCAUAGCGCCGGCGGCACCGUCCCGUGGGCCGUCGGGCUCUCGAUCGCCUCCAUCCUCGCCUACGUCGCCUUCUUCUCGAUCGGCCUCGGCCCGAUCACGUGGGUCUACACGUCGGAGAUCUUCCCGCUGCGCCUGCGGGCGCUCGGGUGCGCCGUCGGCGUGGCGCUGAACCGCUGCACCAGCGGCGUCAUCACGAUGACCUUCAUAUCGCUCUACAAGGCGAUCACCAUCGGGGGCAGCUUCUUCCUCUACGCCGGGAUCGCCACGGCCGCGUGGGUGUUCUUCUUCACGUACCUCCCGGAGACCCGCGGGCGCAUGCUCGAAGACACCGGAAAGCUGUUCGGAAUUAUGGAUACGGAUAAGGACGUCGAUGUCUGCGAUGAACAGCCACCUCACAAAUCCGUAGGAGAAGAAAAAGCAAUUCAACUUACUAACAACAAUAGCAGCAGUAACACUACUACUGAAACAGGGACUAACAGGCAAUUACCAAAAGUUUAGUGGCUUAGUUUGUUAGGGAUCAGAUUGUAAGAAGGAGAAAAAUGGGAGGACUUUAAAGAGAAAAAUUGUAAGAGGAUUGGUGUGACCACCCACCAAUGACAAUCGUUGGUUGAUGUAAUUGGAUACGAAAAGAGUACUACUGCUUUUCUUUUCCUUUUUUUUGUGUGUAAUUAUUGGUUGGUUGAUAUAAUUAGUUUUUAUGGGGUCUACAAUAGAUGUCCUAUUUUAGUAGUGCAAAUGGGUGAACGAAUCAAAUUUAAAAAAAAAAAAAAAGGGUUGAGAAGGAAAUGCGAAGAAUUUGGGACCAAGCAAUUACAUUACACAUACAAUAAGAAUUAUUAAUUUUUAAAAUAUCGCAAGAUAAUAUUUCUUGGGAAGCUGUGGGCUGUGGCUGCUAAAAAGUUCUUCUUUUUGUAAGUUAAAAAUCUAAAAUUUUAAAGCGAAACUUUGGAAAAAAAAAAAUUAACGAACUUAAUUAUUUUGUAUUUUGUAUUUUGUAUUUGUAUUAUAUAUAUUUGCGUAAAUAUUUUGUAUAUUUAAUUUUGUUUUCUUGGAGAAAAAAAAUAUAUUUUGUAUUUGCAUAAAUAAGUGAGGUUGGAUUCACAGGAAUGGCAUCGCAGAUCUAGGACAGCAUGUUGCGCAUUGUCGGCACUGAGAAGAAAACAAGAUAAACAUUUUUUUUGUGUUCUUUUGUUUCUUUUGCUAAAUAUUAAUAAUAUGUAUAUAUUUACUAUAAACAAAUCACAUUUUAUAUGUGUGUUAAUUAAUAAUAGAUAAUUUUAGCUAUAUUAAUUUUAUUAUAUUCGAUUUUGAUAUUAACUCAUAGAUUAAUUAAAUUUAGUCAUUACUCACCGACUAAAUUUAAUCAAAUCCAAUAAAUCUACUUUUCUGAUCGAAAAAAAAUAUAUCAGGCCAAAUGCAACGCCAUGUUCUUAUCUUAAAAUUUUUAUCAACAAUUUAUCAAUACACUAAUUAGGAACCAAAGAAGGUUUCCACUUAUUUUUUGAGGGUUGUGGGGGCCACAUCUAUUUUUUUAAAAAAAGAUUAAUUGUCACACCCCGUCACCUUCCCCAAAUAGAUGGAAGGAGCUCCACACGGGCACGUGCGCCAGACCAGCCGAACGGAUAGAGUUUUUUCUAUUCGCCCAAGACGUCAUAAUCGGUACAAUUCAAAACAUUUCAAACAGGAAUAGAAUUUAUAUAUAGAUUGUAUAAGAAAGGCAUAAUAAACAUAAAUAACUAUACUAUUAAAAACAUUCAUCUCAUUUAAUUUACAUUUAUAUUCUUUCAAAUACAAUCAAUUUUAUUACAUUUCUUUCAUUCUUUUCAACCCUUAAGCUACAUCGAUACAUGGUACAUCUAUCUUUGGUCGCAUAGCAGGACGCUAACUAUAGUUAUAUCCUUUCCUCGCGCCGCUGCGUCUCUCAUGUGUGAACCUGCAAAAUAUGGGAGUGAGAACUAUAAAAAUAGUUCCCAGUGAGUUCGAUUACCGACCUCGCUGAUUUUCCAUUAGGUCUAAUCAGGCAUAAGUAGCUACAAAAACUGAUAAGCAAUAAUACUACUACACUAAGCAUGUAUGGAACUGAAAGCAAUUCCUACUAUGCCUUACAACGGUAGGGAAUGAGUUUCACGAUUUACUAUAAUCAAGGGUGUUCUUUUACUCACUCUUGACCCAACUCAUUCUCGACCCAAUCAGGGGUUUCCACAAAUCCAGUCCAACUAACCCCACACAGCCUCACGGGUCUAGGUCCAAGAAUAAAAUGAUCAACUGUUACUCCACAUGUGACUUAUUCUCAACCCAAUCAAAGGCUUCCCACAAGACCAAGCCCAACUCACAUGAAUAUCACGAUCGACCCCACACUCAACAUGUGAUCUCACUAUACUCACCUUCUAUGCAGGAUGCAACAAUACAAUAUAGCAUAGGAUACAAGUCUAUCUCAACCCAAAGUAUAACAUGUAACAAUGCUAACCACUAUGCCAUUUUAAUAACAUCAUGGUCAAGUACUCACCACGCGCACAUAUAUAGAAUGCAAGAUACUGUAUAAUAACCUAUCUUUUUUCCUGGUCCUAAUUGCAUCAGCUCGCCUGUAGAUCGAGUCUCAACUCGCCACAUCAAGUCACCACUAUGACUGUCUGCUGGGGGCACACCGUCGUGACUCCCUCCCCCGUCUCAAUCUCAAUGUGACACUCCGGAGCUCACGGCUUGGGAGUUACGACCUCCACAAGGCUAUAACAAACAAUGCGAGUAUCAUCACGUCUUCCAACCCGAGGACCUCCCACCUUCUUGUGGGGCAACAUACAGGGACCUCAUUACAUCUCAAUCACAUGGCAUGCAAUGUUCAAAUAAUGAUGGAAUGCACAAUGUCAUGCUAUAAGUGCAAUGACCCAAUCUUUUGGUACUCAGUGUUCAAUCAACUCAUGCCAAUAACCACAUUGACAACUCAACAUCAAGGGAUCUCUCUCUAUCCCUAGUAUGGUUCAGAAGAUAUCUUUCAAUCCCACGCAUACUCAAGAAUCUCAAAACACUAGUUGUCAUACCACACAUGCACCGACCCAAUUUUUUUCACAUAUACUCGAGAGUUCACUCAACUCAUGUUGCGUGCAUCAAUAGGAUAUACAAACAUCACAACAUGUGUACACAAGCAACUAUGCAAUACUUCAUGGACUAUAUAUGAUUACUCAUUCAUGCAAUGACCCAAUUUCACAUUUUAUACUUGGGUUCUCUCAAUUCAUACCAUAAUCCUCUCAUACAUAUCAUAUUACACCCAAAUCAUAGUUUCAUUACUAGAUUCACACAUAAUCAUCACAAUGACAUCUAGUAUCUCACUUGUUUCAAUGUCCACCACUUGUUUUCUAUGUCCAACACACUAGUUUUCUCUACUAGUUCAUCCAUACAUUACUAGGGUUCAUAUAUUACUAUGUUCAUACAUCCUAGGUUUCAAGUCCUCAAUCAUAAUCAUUCUCAUAUAUCAUAAGAGGCAUACAAGUUUCUGGAAUGAGGAUUAAUUGAAUCCUAUCAUAUAUAACUAAUACAUAUAUAUACUCAAUAAGGAGAAUUAGACAUAGGAAGAAAUCCAACCAUUUCGGGAAGCACCACCCACCUUGCAACACUUCCGAUUGCUUGUAGACACUUACAAUCGGGCUCCUACGCGUAAUCGCUCCCUUUCGAGCCAAUAUGGCCAAUAUCGCCCGGUUCGGUUCGUUAGUCGAAACGAUCACCAAACGUUCGUCAAUUUUCAAAUCAAAGUCAUAUGGGGUACUUCUCUAACCUUCAAUUAGAGAAUUAGAGGAUCAAUUUGGUUCAAAACCUCAAAACUCCAAAAUCCCCAAUUCUAACUCUAAAUUUCAAUUUCUCCACAAUUAUCCCAAAAUUCAUAGAGAAACAUCGAUUAAACAAGUAUAAAGUCAUCUAGGCGACUAGAAACCUUAAUUUCAAGUGGAUUUAACAAAAAUCCUAACCUCUUAACUCAAAAACGAAUCUCGAGUUGAAAGCACUUCGAGCCACCAAGCGCCCAAAAGCUCGGUUCUCCACUUCUCCGAGCAUCCCGAGCUUGGUCUCUACCAAAACUCCAAGUUUGGGAGGAAUCUAGAGAGAGGAAGAGGAGAGGAAAAGAAUGGUUCUUGUCCUUACUUCUCUUAUGCGUGAGGGAGAAAAUGAGAGAAAAAGGGUUGUGAGGCUUAUUUAUAAAGGGGAGAAGCUACAAUUGCCAAAAUCCUCUUAAACUAGACAUUUUUCGCGCGACGGGUUCGGACCUUGGCUCCAGGAUCCUGAACGCAUAGCUUGUUUUUUCGUACUGUGCGGUCAAGGUCCGGACCUUAGGUUCAGGGUCCGGAACCCGAAAGUCCACAGCUCAAAAAUGUAAUUUUCAAAAAUUCUCAUUUUUGCUUUUUGAGCCUCUAAUUCAUUUCUAAUCAUUUUAAAACCCUCAAAUCUCAUUUUUGAGCACAUUUAAAUUACUUCUCGUUUGUACUUUGCCCAAUUGGCAUAACUUGGUAUAGUAUUUCGAAACUCGAUACACUACAUUAAUUGCAUAUUGAUCUCCAACCGUUUCACUAUUUUUUAUUUUUGGUCCCUAAUUUUUUUUUUUUUUUUACAAUCAAAAUUUCAGAUCUUUUGAUUUCAUCGCGAUAAAAUAGAACUAUUAAAAGAGAUUUUAGAAUUAACAACAUUAUCAUGUCAUCGCCUAUUUAGCUUUUUUUUACAUGUCAAUUUUAGUCCCUAAAUUUUGCAUGUUUUUGACUUUAGCCCCUAAAAAUAAAAAUUUAAAAUUUUGAAGGCCUCCCCUUAUUUUGGGGUUGUGUGGCCCACAUACAAAUAUUUUUAAGAAUUAAUUGCACAUUGGUCACCAAAAUUUUUAUUAUUUUUUAUUUUGGUUCCUAAUCUUUUCUGUUUGCAAUCAAGUGAGUUUGUAUUCUUUAAUAAUUAUAUAUUAUAAAUUAUCUUUUUAAUAUAAAUUAUAAUAUUAAACUUUGUAUUAAUUUAUAUGCCGUAAUGACUAACUAUAAGUGAGUUUGUAUUCUUCAAUAAUUAUAUAUUAUAGAUUAUUAUUUUAAUAUAAAUUAUAAUAUUAAACUUCGAAUUAAUUUACAUGUCGUAAUGACUAACUGUAAUAAUGUUACCCACCGCAUCAUGCGGGUUCCGUAACUAGUAGAUCAUCAUUUGUCAAGCCAAUCAAAUAGUAACAAGCAAUUAUUCAAUAGUUCAACAAUCGAUAGUUCGCAAAAAUGAUCUCAUCUAUAUAGCUAUCGGAACUCUUCGACAUGUAUUAGACAUAAUCUUUUGUAGAGUGAGUUGUGUUACUUACACAUCAUAUCUUGUCAAUUUGAUAGACGGUAUACCGAAAAAAGAAAAAACUGAUAUGCAGGCAUGCUGAUAUGUUAUGUUCAACUACAAUAGAGGCCAACAUGGAUAGCAGUAAGAAUAUUCAUAAUAACCAACCGUCCCUAGAGCAAGUGGCAAAGGGCUUGGUGGUUGGUACUCGAGACCCAAGUUCGAAUCCUAGUUGAUUCACAUUUCCAGCUAAGUUUAUUUUCGAAUGAAAUAGACGAAGCGGGUAGCGUGCUAUCUAUCUCUCUAAAAAAAAGAAUAUUCAUAAUAGAAAGAAUUAAUUGCUCUCUAGGAAACAAUUUCUUGAAGCACUGCUUAGAAUAAUCAUUGCAUGAGGCUGCUACAACUAGCCUAACAAGUAUUUUGAAGCUCACCACCAAUAUUUUAAAAAUUGAAUCAAAUAGUGAUCUAAAUAUAUUACUGGGUCAAAAAUUACUGAUUCAACAAGUGGGUCAACUACUGGUUGAACUAGUUACAUAAGCACGACGUUAUAAAUAUUUAAUUAUUUAUAGAAAAAUAUAAAUAUUUUUUAUUAUAUAGGAAAAUAUAUUUAUGUUAUUAUUGUUGGAUAAUACUUAGUUAUUAUAAAAUAUUUAUUUCUAGACUAAAUUUAGUAGAUAUAUGUUUUCAAGUUUCACUUUUUAUAAAACUAAUAUGCGCUAAUAGAAAAUAAAAUUAGUUAAGUUGAUUUUAAGUGAUUGGAUUUUAAUGGACUUGAUAAAAAAAAUCAACCAGUUCGAUUAAAACCGAAUUAGUUCAUUAGUUUGAUGGUUGAACCACCGCUUCGAACUAUUCAAAAGGGGUUUUUGAUAUAUCCGAUUCAAAGGAUUGAAUUAAACAGUUUUAUAGGCUAGGUCACGUUUAGACAAAUCCAAUCGACCGAUUCGACUCGCUUUUUAAAUAAUUAUUCACAAGGCCAAUUCUGCUUAGGCCUAGCCUAUAGGCCUAAAGCAAAUGGGCUAUUGGAGGGAAAGGGUUGGGCCACAGUUGGACCUGUGGUGGGCUCUCUCUCUCUCUCUCUCUCCAUCUACUUGGCAUUGAGUGUCCCUAUUUUAACUAGGUGGAAAGAAGUUGGGAUGAGAAUAAAUAGAAAUAUAGUACUCGAGACCUAAGUUUGAAUCCUAGUUGAUUCACAUUUCUUGCUAAGUUUAUUUCUAAAUGAAAUAAACGAUGCGGAUAGCGUGCUACCUAUCUCUAAAAAAAAAAAAAACUAGGUGGAAAGAAGUUGGGAUGAAAAUAAAUAGAAAUAUUUUUUUUUUACUGUUGAAGACCACAUAAGUUUUAUCUUAUCUAAUAUAUUACUAUUUGCAUAAUAUGAUAUUAUUUUACAGAAAUGAAUGAAUUACCUUUUUUUUGUAUUUUCUCAUAAAGUGCCAUCUCCAUGCAAUCUCAAAUGGCUUUUUAGUUUGUUUUUUUUUUCUUGAUUGAAUUAUUGUGCGCUUGUGUAUUGUUAUUUGAACUCGAAUAUAUUAGUAUUUUGUUUGGAUGGAUAAAAAAAAAAGAGAAAUGAAAAAAAAAAGGAGUGAAUUAUUCUCUCUCAUCUUAAUUAAAAUUUUAGAAAGAAAAUAUAAAUGGAGAUAAAUUGACAUUCUAUAAUAGCUUUUUUCUUGUUCAAAAAUGGAGAGAAAUAGAGAGAAAAGAGAAAUGCUACUUAUAUGUUUAUUGUUGAGAUGUACACCUCAUAACCCUCUAUUCUAAGAUUUAAAUCAUUUUUUUUAGAUUCUUAAUAUUUAAAGAGCCAUAAACUAGUAUAAAAUAAGUUGGAUUUUUGGAUGAGGAGGUAAUAAGAAAAUCUACAAAAUUGAUGUGUAGCAUUGGUUAGACCUAAAUCUUUGGCAUGUCAAAUAGGGAUGAAAAUGGAUCCGCUAUUAUCCAAUCGGAGUUCACUCCAAAUAAUCUGAUUCUCCAGAUACCCAAAAAUGAAUUAAGAUUUUAUUAUCCAUCUAGGAUUCAGAUUCAAAUACAGAUUUCUAGUUAUUAUUUUUUUCGAAUUCGGAUUUGAAUUCAAAUUUGGGUUCACUAUUCUUCAUUUGAUUCGGUUCCAAAAUUGGAUAAUCUGAAACUGAAUUGGUUUUCAUAUAUUUUUUUUCAUAAGGUAACAUAACUGAUGAGCCUAUAUUUGACAUUUAUUUUUUUAAAUUAUCAAUUUUUUUUCUAAAAUAAUUUAUAUUCAUAUUUGUUUAAUAUUUGAACCAUAGGACCGUAUUCUCAAUUCAUUUCUAUCAAAAGUUCAAAACCGGAUUUGAAUGUAACGUAAAAAAAAGUAUGGAUUCGUAUCUAGCCCAUUUUCAUUCCUUAUGUAAGAAUUUUAAAGGUUAAAUUAUAAAAAACUUUAUGCAAAUAUUCGCUUUUUUAUUUUUUUUGACUUUUAAAAAUUUACAUUUUGUUUCCUCAAAAAUUUAAAAUUUUUUUUCAAUAAUAUAAUAUUAAUAGAGAGAGUAAAAGAACCAAAUUAUCUUUCUUUUUUCUAUAAGAAAAACUAAUAUUUUUUUUUAAUGUAUCUCUAUUAUUUUAAAGGACAUUUUUGAUAUAAAUUAUAAAAAAUUAAUGGAAUAGUGAUGAAACCCUAAUAGAGAGGGACUAAAUACGACAGCUUAAAAUAUAGAUGGAGUAAAAUAUAAAUUUUGAAAAAUUAGGAACAAAAUGCGAAAAAAUGGAUAUUUACGAGAGUGUUUUGUGUAAUUUAGCCGAUUCUAAAACCCGAUAAAAACCCUAAACCCAGUCUGCCGCCGAAUGUAACCAUAGACACGCCGGCCUCCAUCACGGACUUUUUUCAAAAAUAACCCUGUAAAAGUUCGUAUUUGCCAAACUAAUCCCGUAAAAUUUUUAUUUGUAAAACUAAUCCUCCUUUCGCCAUGUGGGCGCUACGUCAGGGAUUCCUCAAAAAGGCAGUGAAUCGUUUACCGUCUUUGUAAUUUGUUGUAAAAGCGGUGAAUGGUUCACCGUUUUUAGAAGACGAUAAACCAUUCACCGCCUUUAGUGCAAAAUUUUUUUUUCCGCCCUUUUUCCUUUCCGCUCUCUCAAGCCCGCCUCUUCUGUGCCCUCGAGAAGACGGGGAACGAUUCACCGUCUUAUCAAGGACACCAUAUUAUGGACUUGGAAAGAUUUGCGCAGUGUAGGAAUUUGUACUAAAAACGGUGAAUGGUUCACUGUCUUCACAACAAAUAUCAAUAUCAAAGACGGUGAACGAUUCACCGUCUUUUUGAGGAAUUCCUGACGUGGCGCCCACGUGGCGAAAGGAGGGUUAGUUUCACAAAUAAAAAUUUUACAGGGUUAGUUUGGCAAAUACGAAAUUUUACAGGAUUAUUUUCGAAAAAAGUCCUCCAUCACUUUGAUCUGCCGACUGCUGCCAGACGAAACCCUAAUUUUAUGCCGGACAGACAGACAGAUAGGCGGCCUGCGCAGCCGAGAGAGUAAUUUCUUGGUCGCAAUAUUUUUCCUCUUCAAUUCUCUUUUUUUUUUUUUUUUCCCUUUUUUCUAUUUCUUUUUAUGGUGGAUUUUGGAUCUGAAUAUGAUGAAGAUGGUAAUGCGUUUCCUAACGUCUCGACACCUGAGAUCGCUUCGCGAUCUGUGAUUACCCACACAUCUUCUGAUUCCAACAAAUGCUAUGAUGGUAGAAUCUUAUAAAAUUUUGUAGUCUAUGUAGUUGGAUACUCGGAUAUGUUGCAUGAUGGAUUUUUUUUUUUUUUUUUGGGUGUGUUAUUGUUAGUUGUUUUAUAAUGCGGUAGGAAUGUUAAUUCUCUUAAAAAAAAUUAAAAGAACAAAAAAAAAAGAUUUAUUUAGGCAUUGUUUACUUUAGUAUUGUUGUUAUUUUUUUAAAAAAAUUUAAAUGGGGUUUUUUAUAUGAAAUUGUAUAAAAAAGGAUAGUGGAUUUCUUACAAUUCUUCGGAAGUAAUUUUUUUUUUCCACUUUGAAAAUUUUUACACAAAAUUACAAAGUGAAAUAGGUUUUUUUUUUUUUAAAUUUUUUUUUAUUGCUUAAGCAAUUCUCUAUCCACUCUCUUAUAUAAAGAUUCUACGGUAAACUUCAAUUACUGCUCAUGUGACUCUGUUAUUUGAAAAGUUUCACUUUACUAUUAUGUGAUUUUUUUUUAAAAAAACUUUUUUUUUCACUUUUAGAACUUGCUGUUAAAUAGGGUAGUAAAGUGAUGCGUCUUACUAACUAUAGGAUAAUUAACUGGAAAAUAUUUGCUUGUAAAGUGCUACAUUUUGCUACUUAAUUUGCUGUCGUAGUUUGUAAAUUAUAAUGUUUUGCUAUCCUAUUUAAUUUUCACUUAGUAAAGGAGAAAAUUAUAAUGUAACAGAGUGAGAUAUACGCUAAAUCACAUGCGGAGAAAUUGAAGUUUUUCCAAAAUUUUAUUCAACAAGAAAUAAAAGAAAAAUGGCACCAGUACAAAACGGAUGCAUAGAUAUAAACGGUUGGCUUACCAACCCAUCGCAAUUCGUAAUUGCUCUGGUGUCAAAUGGUCCGAUCAAAAUCGCUAUAAUUGGUUUCAGAGUAAACUUCAAUUUGUUUCCCUCUCGUUUAGUUCAUUUUCACUUUACUAUUCCGUGGUUCAAAAAGUUGCACUUAACAAUGCUGUGGUUUAGCACAUUUUUAUUUUGUCGACCUGUGAUUUAAAAAUUUACACUUAAUUAUUCCUGUGAUUAUCAAAAAGUUUCACUUUUGCUACCCUAUUUGAUAGUAGAUUUUUUUCGAUAAAAGAAAGAUAAAAUCACAGGAUAGUUAAGUGCUACUUUUUGAGCCACACGGGGUGGCGAGGUAAAAAAAUGAGCUAUUAUAUUUAUUUCUAUUGUAUUUUUGUUAGAAUUUGUUAUCCUCGAUCAUUUAGAUGUUGUCAUGUUUCACCAUUUUUUUCGUGUGUUGAGAAACUGAUUCUGAGGCGGCAAAUGAUGCAGAUAUCUUAUCCUACACUCUGAACAUGUUGUGUGGACUAUACUUCGCUUAUUAUCUGAUGCCAUUUAUGUUUGUUACGAUGUUAAGAAUGUUGAUUUUGGUUUUCGAAUUUUAGUUGGUUUGCUGUUUUGAUUUCAGUGGUGUCCGCAGUUUUUCUGUUGCUUCUUCAAUAGUCUUUAAAACCUUUUUUUUUUAGAAUUUGUUAUCUUUGAUCAUUUAGAUAUUGUUAUGUUUCUCCAUUUUUUUUUCAUACACUAAGAAGCUGAUUCUGGGGUGGCAAAUGAUGCAGAUAUCUUAUCCUACACGCUGAACAUGCCGUGUAGACUAUACUCUGCUUAUUAUAUCUGAUGCAAUUCGUGUUUGUAUACAAUAUUUAGAAUGUCGGUUUCAGUUUUUGAAUUUCAGUUGGUUUGUCGUUUUGAUUUCAGCAGUUUUCGUUGUUUCAGGUAUUUCCGAUUUCUCUUUUCUGUUGUCUCUCCUGUAGUCUUUUAAAACUUCAAUUGAUCAACAUAAGCACUAUCAACAAAGUACAGGUGAACCCCUCGACUUUGAGUGGUUCUAUAGCGCAAUACAACUGUGAUUUUUUUAGCAGCUGAAAUUGUAACAGCAAAUGCUGACAGAGCUUGAAUAAUCAAAAUUAGAAAAAUUAGAAGAUUUAGCAGUGGAGAGUCCGAUUUGAAAAGUAGUUGAGUGGUCUGAAUGCAUUUAUACCACUGACCAAUAUGUAGGAAACAAUGGAGGGAGAACCCACCAGGUUGGCCAUCAGCAGGAGGAGGAGAUAGAAAAAGCGCGACUGCAGAAGUUUCAAAUUGAGUUUGUAUUGCUGCAGCUCGAAGCAGAAGCUAUAGCCGAGCUUACUUUUUGAAAGGUUGAUAUACUGAUCUUUAUCUUAGUAAUGCUAUGCUCUUAUCCUCUUGGAUAAUUUACGAAUUAUACACAAAUUAUAUGCAUAUAUAUGUAGAGCUUGGUGUCUUUCGAUUUGUGAUUUGUGAUGUGAUGUGGUGGGCGUAUGUAGUGUAGCAUCUUGAAUUGCUUUCGAGUGUUUGAAUGCCAUGAUUUGCGUCGUGUAUCAGAUGAACGGCUCACUAACAAAUAUUUGUUGCAAUGCCCAACAAAACUGUGGAGCUCGAGUGUAGUGGUUGUGUCGCAUAUCAAAUGUUAUAUCCCUACUCGAAUCCAAGGGAAAAUGCACGAUCUGAAUCCCAUGUAAAAAUUUUUGUUAUGUAAGAAUAUACAAAUCUUCUCUGAAUUAUGGAUCAUUUUGAGUUGGCUACCGAAAUUUUCAAAAUUUUACUUUUAAUAUAUAAUUUUUUAAUUUCUUUGAUUGAAAUUAGUUAAUGGCAUUUUGAUUUCAAAAUUUAAGUUAAUAAUUUAUAGUUGUGAGAAUUAUAUAAAGUAUACUAUGUAAAUGUAAACAACGUAUUUAAAUUUUGAAGUCGGAAUAUUGUUGACCAACUCAAAUGAAAUAAAUUAAAAGAUUUCAGUAUUGAAAAUGAAAAUUUUGAAAGUUGGAAUACUUUGAAUUAUAGUUCAAAUUCUUCUUCUUUUUCUGUUUUUUUUUUUUUUUAAUAUUGUAAACUGUGGUUUCUGAAAACUUGAACCUGCAAAGUAAAUCUAAAAUAUGAAACCAAAACGAAAAAUUAUUCGGAUUGGAGGAAAAGAAGAAAAAAAUCCAAAAACUUGAAACCAAAUAACAACUAUAUUUAAUAAACUUAAUAAACAAAUUAAUUAACAAGAUAUAAUGAUAAUUAUACGGGGGUGUAAAAUCACUGUGCACAAGUAAAGUUAUUUAAUAUUAUUAUAUUAUAUAAGCUAUGUAUAUUUUAUAUGGUUUUUCAGAGUUGAGUUAUGAUACUUUUACAAGUAUCACCAUCAUGGUGCUAUUAGGUUUUAAGCCAUUGGAUCUACUUUUUGAUUAUUAAUAGCCCUUGGAUUAAACACUAUUCCACCUAUCACCACCUACUACUACCUACCACCAUCAUCUCAACCUCACAUCUCUCCAUCCAAGGGCUAAAAACACACAAGUAUCACUCCCAUGAUACUUUUACAAGUAUUCUAGCCCUACUCUGGUUUUUCAUAAUAUUAUUCGAUGAGGAGUUAUUAGAGUGUCACAUCUGGAAAAAAGAUAAUAUUUUUUUUGUUUUAUUUUUUUGUUUUUUUGGAACACAAAAGCUGCCUUCAGUCCUAAAGCGUUUUCUGGUUCGGUGCGUGCAGUGCUGUCUGCCUAUGAAGAAAUUACUGCCUGCACUCUGUGUAUUCCAGAUAUCUCACAGUCUGCCAGAUAUCCCUGUUUCUUCAAAAACAAAAAAAAAAAAAAAAAAAUUCUGCUCUGGUAUUUGAAUAAAAUAAAGAAUUGAUUUUUUUUUUUUUUGAGAAAAAGGUAGCACGCUAUCCGCUUCAUUUAUUGAGAGUAUGAACUAAGCUACAUGGGUGAGGCAGCCUGGGUCUCGAGAGAGCGAAUGAAAAAAAAAGAAAAAAAAAAGAAAAAACAUAGGUCAAGAGGUCAGCUUAGCUGGAAUAAGAGGUCAUCCUAAAGAAUUGAAUUUUAAUACUUUAUUAUCUAACUACCAAAUAGUUCGAUAAGAACAGAUUAUUUAAUUCAUUUAAGGGCUAUUUGAUUGGAUAUAAUUAUAAAUACAGUAUAAUUUUUAGUUGGGUAUAAUAAAAGGUGUCGUAAAUACAAAUAAUUUGUUUGCUUGUAUAAGACUGAGAAGUUUAAGUUUUUACUCUGUAGAAAAACAAAAAUUCAAUUUGAAAGGUUUUUAAGAAGGUAAGCUUGUUUUUAUUUAAAAUUAUUUUUUCAAUUGCUGGAGUUGGAAUUGUGCAUAAUUUCAACUAUCUAUAGUAAUACACUAUUUGGCAAUGAUAUUACAUCAACAACAGAAAUUCUCAUAAAGCCACGCAAGGCAUUAAAUUCUUAACCAAUAAAAUCUUGACACACAUCUUUCAAAAAUUUUGGCGUAUCCAUUUCAUCAUAAACCGAUUCUAAAAUGUGCAUCUAAAUUGUGUAUCUAUAGUAAUAUACUAUUGGGUAAUAACAUCAUAUCAACAAAAGGGAUUCUCAUGAAGCCACAUAAGGCAUUAAAUUCUUAACCAAUAAAACCUUGACAGACAUCUUUCAAAAAAUUUGUGUGCACCUGUUUCACCGUAAACCAAUUUUAAAAUAUGCAUCUCAGUUGUGCAUCUAUAGUAAUACACUAUUCGGUAAAAGCAUCACAUCAACAAAAAGGAUUCUCAUGAAGCCACUUAAGGCAUUAAAUUUUUAACCAAUAAAACCUUGACACACAUCUUUCGGAAAAUUUGCGCGCACCUAUUUCACCUUAAAUCGAUUCUAAAAUGUGUAUCUUAGUCGUAUAAUAAAUUAUUUAAAUCUUUUAUAUUAUAUUAUAUGAGAUUAAUCAUCAAAUACUUUAUUAAUUAUAUAAUAUUCUAUAUAGUAUAUAAAAUAUUAGUAUGCAUCUCCUCUCAUCAACAUAACAAACUCUCCUCAAGCCAUGGGCAUUAAUUUUUUAACCAAUAGUAAAUUGCCACAUCUUGAAAAUUCUGGACGUGCCCGGUUUACCGUAAGCCGAUUCUAAAAUGUGAAUAAGAUAAAAUUGUAGUCGUAUACUAAAUUAUUUAAAUAUUUUAUAUUACAUCGUAUUUUAUUUGACGGUAUUAAUUAUUAAAUACAUUCACAUUUAAAUUAUUCUAAAUCUAUUGUAAAAUAUAUUUUGAUGGAUAAAAUUACAGCUUUUGUAUCCAUUCACAUUUCUACUUAUACACCCUAAAAAGAAAAUUUAAAUACUUUUCAGUAAAAGUUAAAAAAAAUUAAUGUGACUAAGUAAAGAGUUAAUAGUUUUUAGAUGGAGUGAAUAUAAGAUAUACAACCUAUUUUAGAAUUGAUCUAUUACAUCUUCGUUCUACUGCGCUUAAACUAAUUGGAACCGAUUUGCUAUCAGUUUCGUUUAUUUUUUCAGAAAUAAACUUAGCUGAAAAUAGGAAUCGAGUAGAAUUCGAACUUAGAAUCUCGGAUACCAACCACCAAGCCCUUUGUUACUUGCGCUAGAAACGGUUGGUAGAAUAGAAAAAAUUAUCAAGCAAAAAAAUUGGAUUUUUAGGCGGUUCAUGAGAUGUUGGGAUGCGCCUGGCGCAGGCAAUAGUUCUUUUUCCCCUAUUGAAUUAAAGAAAGAAAAAAGAAGAAGAAUAGUUUGAGAAAAGAAUGUCUCCUACCCCUCCCUCCUCUCGUGCUCUCCUUGCUCCCCCUUCAAACCCUCGACAAACCAUGGUAUAUUCUCCUUUUCCCCACAAUCCCUAUCUCGUUUCUCCCUCCUCCUCCUCCUCAAUAUCCAAAUCCCCCUCCUUUUUGCUAUUUUUGCCUUUUUUUUUUUAUUUUUUUGGUACAGUUUUGGAGAGGAGAGCCUUGAAGUAGAACUAGCAUUGGCUUGUGGCCUCAUGGAAACCCACUUGAUCCAAAUGUUACAUGAUCUCUCUCUCUCUCACUCUGUCUUUCUUGUUGUUGUUGUUGUUGAAGUAUCCAUGGACUUGAAUCUUUGCUAGUAUUAGAUGUGAAGAACCCCAAAAUAAUCUUAUAGCUAGGAAAAAGGAAAAAAAAUUAAGGGAAAAAAAAGAUUUUGAUUUAGUUUUAUUCAAUGAUUGGUUUUGUUUUUGAUGUGCAGGUACAUGCGUCUAGCUAAUGAAUUUGCAAGAACCUUCGAUUCGCUUUUUCAUGUAUGUUGCUCUUUUGUUGCAUUGGUUAAUGUUUGUGUCUGUUUAAAACUAAGUUUAUGCCUCAAAUUGGUGCCAAGAUUUGUUUUUUGUGUUGUUGCUGUUGGAAUUUUAGAUGAUUUCGGGCCAUUGUUGAAGACUCCGAAUCUCUUGAUUUGGUUAUGAACAAUAUUUUUAGGGGUCAUAGCCAAAUUACUAAUGGAGUCUCUUGUGCUGAGUGAUUACUGUGAGAUUGGAACCCUGAUUGAUGCUUAAUUUGGGCUUUUAGAUCAGCAGGGAAUGCAUUAGCAGUAUUGAUGUUCUUUUCAUUAUUAUGAUUUUGAUUAUUUUGUAUUUGUGCUGCAUCUUAAUUUGGUGGUAUUAUGCAGAGGAUUCAAUCUUCCAUGAUUUUGAAGUUUAUAUUGGGAUUGUUCUGGCAUUUACUCCAUAUAGCGGUGAGCUUGGUGCAUAUUUGGUCAUAUGUGAUUCAACAGUUGCGGUGCUACAUCAUUUCAAGUGGGUUGUUUGCAAAGUAUCGAAAUUUCUCUCUGAGCCGUCUUCGCUACUUGGCUGUCAUAGUGGACAGUCAAGAAGCUAAGCAUACCGCGAAGAUCAAGCAACUUCUCUCGUGGUUGUCGGCUAUUGGUGUAAAGCAUGUCGCCCUUUAUGAUGCAGAAGGUGACAAUAAUUGUCCAUUCCUUUCUAAACACGCGUGUUAUUGAGACUAGUUGUAUGUUCAUACUUUGAAACUUGUUAAGCGAAGAUGAAAAGUGCAGAAAGCCUCUAUCGUGAAUUUCACAUGAAUGCCUGUUUGGUCUGGCUUCUAAACUGACUUCUUUACCUAAGAAAGUAGAAUCUUCUAGAUGCCAAGCCUUUGGCAAACUAAAAAUGUCUGGAGCUUUUGCUGUGUUUGGGGUGCUGCAAUGAACUUUUUGAUGCGAAAAAUAGAAGCUCCAACAUGAAGAUUCUAAUUCUUCUACAACAUGAGGUUGUUCCGAGAAAUUUAAUGGAAAAGCUUACUGUGCUUUUUCAAGCAGCUUUGCUCAAGGACCACUUUUGCAGAAACUGUAGAGAGGUCAAAUGGGCUGAAAUCUUGAAAUUAUUAUAUUCCUUUUCUAAUUAUUUGCUUCUGUAGAGGAGGAAAACUUACUAUGACAGACCGUUUAAGAAGUUGAGUAAAGUAAUAUUGUUUUCCUGUCUAGGUGUGCUGAAGAAGUCAAUUGAUUUUGGUCAGACGAGAUUGAGAGAUCGAAGUGCGGGAACCUGUCUUGUAAGUUGGAUGACCUAGAUUGCUGAUUCCUUUAUCCAUGGCGUGAUUAAACAUGUUUCUCAACUUUCAAAUUUUAAAUUUUCCUGUUCGUUUUCAUGAAUAACCGUAUAUGUUUUUGACAUGUAGGAUGGUGAUGUAAACUGUGUAACUUCUCUUUGUAAUUAUGAGGAAAUGUCGAUAGAGUUACUUUCUUUUACUGAUGGUAAAGAAGGGAUUGCCAAAGCAGCUAGCUUCCUAUGCUCCGAUUACUUAAAAAAUGAUUCUGACGACUGUGGCAGAACCGAGACUUUAUUCACAGAAGCCAACAUGACUAAGGCUUUAAAAGCUGUAGGUGUGUUAAUUAUUUUCAUUCGUUUACUCUAUUUUCACUAUAAACCUAUUCUCUUAACCUUUGUGCACUUUAACAUUGGAGCUAGGUUGUUAAUAUUGCUGAAAAUUCCUUGAAUUUAGGUUAUUAUGGCCCAGAGCCUGACCUCCUCCUUGUCUAUGGACCUGCCAGAUGUCAUUUAGGGUUUCCUCCAUGGAGACUGCGGUAUACAGAGAUUAUGUAAGUUUGUUAUGGUUAUUGUGUUAUUUCUGUAUAUUUAUCUAUUUCCCAAAAAAAUAUCUAGAAUAGUGGUCUUCAUUGAUUUUCCUAUAUUUUUCCCAUUAACUUGUGUCCUUACGAUUUUCACAUUUUCAAGGUUCUUUAUUUGUCCUCUUACUUAUUUAAGAAGUCCUCUCUCUUAUUUAAGACAGUCAGUACAUAGACUUCUUUGGUUGGACACGUUUAAGUGGAAUAUUGUGGUACUUCUUUGGGACAGAUAGAUCUACUUUAGCAGAGUGUAUCUUCUUUUAUGUCUCGUUGUGCAAUUUAGUACCAUAUUACUGAUUGUCUAUUUUCUUUAAUAUAUAUUUUAUUCUUUUACCUUUGAAGAUUCACUAGCUUGAAAAUGAAAGAAAUUUGUUGAUUAGAUGUAACAUCAGAAGUCUGAUACAACUUAGAAAUACAGCAAUCAAACUGUAUGUGGGGAAAAUAGGGGAACCAUGCUACUCACAACUUAGUAGUGCAGUUCAUGGUUGUGGCUCAGAGCUUGCCAUCGAAUCUAGUGAGAAUUUGUUUUUUUGUCAUAGAAACUUGGGAUGUUAGUUGUGCUUUACAAAUAAAUAUGAUAAUAUUAUUCUAGGCUAUGCAAGCUUAGCUAUGGAAGUGUUCUUUUUUUUUUGUAUAGGUUUAAAUUGAACUGUUUUGGAAAGGAUGCCAGCUAAAAUCAGGGUUUCUUUUUUUUCAAGUUGAUAGAGCUGUGAGUGGUUGAUUACUCUAGUUAGUGGCUGAUCACCUAAUUUUGUUAUAUUUGGAGGAUGAAAUUGUUACUAAAAUGUUUAACACUGUGUUCCUUAUUCAUUUACAUGGAAGCUAUUUCAAAUCUAUGAAUGCUGGAAUAUACGUGUUUGAGCUUUAGAUUUAUAUUCUUAAUUUUGCCAAUUAAUGUUAUUGAUUAAUAGUCUUAGCAACACAGUCGGCGUUAAAUCAAAGUCGAAUGGUAUUUUCUCUCUAGCUUCGUCAACAGGGAACUCUAGUUAAUCCAUCAUUAGGAUCAAGUUUGCUAAGUUUAGUAAAACUCUAAUCAAUUCAUGUGAUUUUUAUGUAGUUUUAUGUAACUAAAUGGGCCACAACAGGAUACUUGGCAAUUGAAAGAAAAGAAACAAAUGAUGUCCUGUUUACACUACUGUAGCAUAAAGAUUAAGCACGAAUGUUCUUUUUAUCUCUCUUUUGGUGACUGGGUAACUUUCCUUCAUACUCUUUCCAUUUUUAUUUUCAUUGGUUGUGCGAGGUGUUAGCUCCGGAUUCUAGGACCCCUGUAUAAAGCUUUCUAUUAGCUCGUAAUGUUCAAUUCUAUGAAUUCAUCUUAAGCCUUUGAAUAAUGGUGAUAGAUAGAAUUAGUAUUCAGUACAAGUGAAGAAUUUUACUGUUUCAAAAACAAAACAUUUAAUAAUGAAGAGUGAAAUGUGCAUUCAGUAACAUAUUGCGCAUCGUCUAGGAAUCUUACAGUCACUAACCGUCGCAGUUUCCAGAGGUUUAAAGAGAUCAAUACAAAUACUUCUGUAAGCUUAUUUCUGGAAACAUUUGCUAACUGUUAAGUCAAUCAAGAAAUUUUCCCAUUUCAUGUAUUCAAUCGAAUUUUCUGUCGUUCGUGCUUUUUCAGAAUUCCCUGAUUCCUCUGUAUUUCGGUACACAUGCCACAAAAGUUGAACCACUUCCUCAGUUUUAAAACUAUAUCAGAUGCAUCCUAUAAUCAAAUAACAUACAUCAAUUUGUUUUCUCCGUUCUUAUUUUAAGAAACCACUUUGCAAACCGAGAACUAAAAACCAAGUUUCUGUUAAUUUUGCCAAAUGAACUGAACUGAAUUAGCCAAAAUGUUUUCAUUCGGUAAGGUAAUACAUUCAUCUGAUUCCUUUUUGCCCUGCUGUUUAUUUUGAUAGUAAACUAGCUGAUCUAGGACUUAAUUACGCAAUCAGAUUUCUUAAGUAUAUCUUGUUGUUUGAAGACAAAAAAGGUUUUGUUCUUCCUACUGAGGACGUUAAUAAAAACUAAGAAGUCCUAGAGUAAUUUACAUUUGUAAUCUGCGAUAGAUAUGAAUGCAGCAAUUACAUAUACUGUACAUAUCUAAUGUAGUACUUCACCUUUCUUUUUUCUUUUUUUUUUUCUCUGUGUCUAUCAUAUUCUAUUCUUUUAUAAUCAAUCCUAGACUUAAUUAGUUAAUUGCUAACGGUUUUGUGUUUUUUAUUCAGGCAUAUGGGGCCGCUGAAAUCCAUGAAAUAUAGCGCCAUUGUGAAGGCCCUGUAUGAUUUUUCAAAAAAGUACCAAAACUACGGUAAACCAUCUUCUUUUUUUUUGUUACUUUAUUUGUACAUUCCAUACUCUUGUACAAGAGGAAGCCUAAUUCUUAAUGCUUAAUAUUAUCUCUUCUUCUUUGCUUCAUUAUUCCGCUUGCGGAGGCACCAAAUUUCAUGCUGAUUAUUACUGGGACUUUUGAGUUUUAAUGAAUAACCCCUUUCCGGUCUCUUUCUUUUCAGGUUCUUAGUUGAAAUGCUGAUAUGAUAAUGACGAAGAGGGGCUUCAGUUUUAUUAUUCGGAAUUUCUCUAAAUUUCAGGAGGUCGAAUUACUAUUCAACUGGUUAUUUACAGGAAUCGCAGAUGAAUACUGCUUCUGAUAAUUUUUUUCCCCCUUUUCUUCUGUCAUAUUAUAUUUUAUAGCUUCACAGAAUCAUAAGAUAUUUGAUAAACAAUGUAAUCAAUAAGAUUCUGAGAAAAUCCCACAGCUUUAUAAGCAAUGUUGAUCUUAUAUAUCUUUUUGUAAUGCUUCGCGAGUCUUUACUUAUGAUGCGAUGCUUCUUGAGAUAAUUACUUACAAUUUGUUUUUUCAAUUUUGAAAAAUAAUUACUUCAAAUUAAUUCCUCAAAUAUUAUCGAAAUUUGGGACCAGCUCUGAAGAUCGAGAAACCCUUUGCAAAAUUUUCUUUUCCAUACUGAAUAUAUAAAUUUGGUCAGUAAACUUAAUGUCAGAUGACAAAAUAGUGUCAAUUUGAUAAAUUUAUAGUAAGUUUCAGGAGCAUUUUAUUCAUUUUCUAGAAGUAUUUGUAAAAGUUCGCAGCCCGACAGUGUAGUUUAUCUGAAAUGGGAAUUCACAGAGUGAGCGAUUUGCUGCCACCACAACUUAUCUUGAUAACUAUCAGUAGAUAAGAAGGCUUAAAGCACCAAGGAAGAGAGCAAAAUAAUACCGCAAAUUUCUCCUGGACAAAAUAUAGAUCCACAAGUUGAACAUAAAGCGCAUGUAUGAUGCGAAACAUUUAGCUACCAAAAAAAAUUACACUCGCAAACUCGCAGGCAUUGUUUCUUUCUACAUGUUAGCUUGAACAGCUGAACUUCAUAUGAGAUGCUCACAUAACACAGAAACUAGUCAGCAUAUGAAAAAAAAAAAAAAAAACUUUGCCAUAGCAUGCAGCACCACAUAAUGAGACGACAAACAUCAUUAGUUUUUACAGACAACUGAGUCUAUGACGACGGCGUCGAGAGAGCAGGGUAUUUCCAUAUUCUAUAUACAAAUCGGACUCCAUAUAGGAAUUCUAUUGCUCCUCCUUCUUACGAUGGCCAUUGGGUUCUUGACCCCCAUUCCUUUUGCCCACCCCUUGAAGGGCGGAAGCAAAAUCACCGCCCGUUUGUUGCUUGGCGAACCUCGGAUAAGAAGAUCCGGGUAAAGAUGCAGCCGCCUCAGGCUGCCAUGGGUUGGAGUACCUUUUGGUGGUAGAAAUCGAUGGCGCUUGACUCAUCCAUCGAUUUUCGCUAGUAUUAAUCUUCGAGUCUAAAAUGACUUUUUGAUCGGAUUCUGUAAGCUUGGGUUUGGUCUCAUUAAGAUUAAUUCCUUGAUCACUUGCCUGGUCCUUUUCUCGAUCUAGUUUUGGUUUAGGCACUACAAAUGGAACGGUCGGUUGCCAAAAGGCUGCCUGAUUCACGUCUCGAGAACUGAUUUUCUUUUCGCCCUUCUCCUUGAAAACAUGAUCUGUCUCCAAAAAAUCAGAAGUACUACUUUGUUUCACUAUUUCUGGGUGCUUAUCCUUGUCUUGAUUUGAGUUCAAAUGAUAGAAGUCGAUUAUAUCAGCUUUGGCAGUUGAAGAACGCCCGGAAGAAAUCGAUGUCAUGGGAAAAGCCUUCUCAGGAGGCACAGCCGGGGUGUAGUUAGCGGGAAGCAAAUCGUCCCAAUUUUCCAACAGUUCUUUGUAGACUUUACGAAGAGUGACCUCCGUGAGGCCCGUCACUUUGCAUAUCUCGGCCUGGGUUUUGCGUUUGUCUUCCAGCUGGCAUGCAAGGUAUAUAGCAGCUGCGGAUAUGCUGAUUGGAUUCCGACGUGUGCAAAAGCACUUGUUGAUAACCACUUCUCCAAUAUGAGCAGCGAGUUCCUGAGAUUUUACAUGAGAUUGUUUGACAAAAGAAUAUCACAAAUAUUAGAGAAAAAUAAGUCAUCAUAGUCAGGGACAGGAAAUUGCACCUGAGCAGAUUUAUUAAGCUGGAGAAGAGUGCAGAACCUGGGCAUAUGAACUGAUAUCGAAUUACUAUUGAUAGGUUGGCUUAGUUUUAGAGCUUCUCCAAGUAUUUUGAUGUACUUGCCUAUCUCUUUCUGAGGAAGGUUGCUUGCGGUAGAGAUUUCCUGGUAAUGCACAAGAUAUAAAAGAGAAUUCAGAUGGUUAUAUAAACAUGUAUUGUCUAUGUAUAGUCUAGUCAUAUAUCUUUCAUGAUUCUUAGCUAGAGUUUUAUUUAGAUUUUAUGGUUCUUAACAAUCUUUUCCAAAGUUCUUUAUGACUUUCACUGUCAAAUUGCUUAGUCAAUAUUCCAAACAUCUAGUUGAGUGCACUAAUUUUUAAAGUAUUGCUUCAAUGCAGAGAACCCCUAUCUGCCAACGUAUAUAAAAGCAGCCACUAAUAAAAAAUUUUCUGGAUUUCAAAUAUUCAUCCAUUUUGCUUUCAGGAGGAAUAUAUAUUUUGAGACACCAAGCUCAGUAUGUUUACAAUAAUUAAAGAAGCAUUACCAAAUCCAAGCAGUGUACCAUGAAGAUCAUAAAAAUGAGCUGAUGUUCAUUAACAAUAGCUGCCGUAUUUUAAUAAUUGCUAAGCUAACACAGCAAUAAUCAUAGAGCCUAUACUGAAAUCUUAUUUUUCUGUUUACUCAUAAAUCAUACUCAUAUAGCCUACGCAGAAAUCAUAUAGCUAUAUAGACAAUGGAGUGCGCUAACUAUCACAAACAAGCGAACAACAAAAGAUCUGUAAUACCACCAAUCGUUACUCCGAUUGGUUAAGUAGCCUGGUCCUCAAUAUGUCUCUGUUGCAAGUCCUGCACAAUGUAGGAUAUUUAGUUUUGUUAAAUGUUUGUAUAAUUGAUAAAAAAGAGGAGAUUCAAAGUCCUAGUACUUCCAUUUACCUUUCCCGUACAAUUCAUAGGAAAGAGUGUUAGAGUGUCUUUUAUUACAAUUGAUUAGACCAGUGGGAUGCUUCACUCUACAGUAGGAUACGUAGGGAUUUCUUCCAAGUACAUCUCUUAUUUGGAUUCGAGUAGGUAUUACAAGGUUCCCUAUAACAUGUCAAAAAGAGGCAAUACACAUAGAAUCCAUGGUAACCAACUAACCAUUUUGUUAUUAACAUAUUAACAAUACCACAAGGAACUUCACCAAUACAAGGUUAUAACAUGUAGUGCAGUGACACAGAAAUUUCUAUCUCCGCCAAAGGUGAUAAUGCAACAACACAAAUUGAUUUCUACAGACAUUGGAAGUUAAUGCACUCGUUAACAACUUAUAAAUGCAUUGAAUCCUGUACUUGAUAUGACAUUGACAUAUUCCAAAAAUGCAAUACCCUUAAACAAAUCUAUUUCUUCAAAUUAGAAGGUAAAUAGCUCCCAAAAGCAAGGGUUCACAUUUGUUUACUUAUCCACAAUGAGUUAUUGUCCUCAAUUUCAACCGGGACACAAGAAGUUCAUUAUUUAUUGUUUUCUAUGAGCUUACAAACUUCGAUAUCUCGUCACUCCUCAUAUACAUAGAACGAGAGAAAACAAUUAGCAUGAUGUUCUAGGACAUUGUAACCUUCAAAACCAUUCUUCUGAUGUUUUAGGUCAUUGCAACCUUCAAAACCAUUCUUCAACAAUUAGCACGAUGUUUUAAGGGCAUUCUAACCUUCAAAACCAUUUUUCAACAACUAGCACGACGAUCUAGGGCAUUGUCACCUUCAAAACCAUUCCUCGACAACUAGCAUGAUGUUCUAGGGCAUCGUAACCUUUAAAUCCAUUCUUUGACAAUUAGUAUUAUGUUCUAGGGCAACUAUAAACUUCACAACGAUUCUUAGACAAUUAAUAUGACGCCGCAGGGUAUUGUAAGCUUGUAAACCAUUCUUUGCCAGUUGACAUGAUGUUUUAGGGCAAUAUAAACUUCAAAACCAUUCAUAGAUGGCUCUUAACAAUAACAAUAACAAAAUAUAUGCAAUCAGAGCAUCCGGUUAUUAAUCCUCAUAAAUUAUUAAGAAAUAUUAGGGAACGGAUCGGAACCUGCAGAGUCCUCGGCUCCUGCGCCUCCCGGAUCGCCUGCACGAGCGCGGCGGUAGCGAGGGCCUCGACGCUGCGAUUCCUGAGGCAAAUCGCGGAGGAGCAGUCCCUGAAGAGCUCAAAGGCGUGGUCGGCGAUGUCGUGAUCGAGCCCUAGAAUGGAGGCGACGUCGAUGAUUUGCAGGUAGGCUCGGAGGUUGUCGACGGAGACGAGGGGCCCCGAGGGAUCGGCGCUGCCACCGCCUCCUCCUCCGCCGCCUCCGCCGCCGCCGCCGCCGCCGCCGAGGAGGGCGCGCUCGAGCUCGGCGAGGUGGCCGGAGAAGGAGAGGGCGGAGCGGGCGAAGACGGGGGCGGGCUCGAGGGACCAGGCGGAGAAGGCGGUGACGAAGCCGGUGGGGAGGAAGGGGUCGUCGUCGUCGUCGUCGUCGUCGUCGUCGCCGCCGCCGUGGUGGCCAUGGUCGGCGUGGGCUUGAGGAGGAGGAGGAGGGGGUUGGGGUUUGUUGGUGGGGGGGAGGAGGUCGGGGGUGGAGAGGGGGAGCGGGGUGUCGAGGGCGCGGAGUAGGAAGAGCGGGUGGGAGUGGACGCGGCGCUCCUCCACGACGCGGCCGCACGAGGCGCACUCCGUCACGGAGCGCCCCGCCGCGGUCGCCGCGCACCGGCCCUGCGUCCCCGGGCAGUACGGGCACCGCACCCGCCACAUCGAUCUCACACACACCCACCCACCACGAGGAGUGAGAGAGAGAGAAGAGAAUGAGAACGGACUUGGGCCUCCUUUUAUUUAGGGUAAAUUGCACUUUGGUCCUCAAACUUUGAGAACGUUGACACAGUGGUCCUCAAAGGUUUUUUUUUUUUUUUUUUGUGAUUUGAGAGAAAAGUAGCCAACGCUACCUGUUUAUUCAUAUAGAAAAUAAUAUAUUUUUUUGUGUGAGAAGAAAGGUAGCAACGCUACCUGCUUUAUUCAUAUAUAAAAUAAAUUCAGCUAUAAAAGUUGAGACAACUUGGUCAUCAUAACAAAAACUAAAAAAAAUAAUAAUAAAAAAUAAAAUAAAAUAAAUAAAGAAAAUAAAUAAAAUAAUAAUAAUAAAAAGUAAAAAGAAUAGACAAGUGCAAAGGUUAAUGAGCAAACAAACAAUGUUACUAGUAUGCACACAAGAAAGUGUUAUUAUAUAUAUAUAUAUAUAUAUAUAUAUAUAUAUAUAGAGAGAGAGAGAAGAGAUGAGAGAGAGAGAGAAAACUAUGCCGCGAAGACUAUCAAUAGCACCAAUAGCUAUUAAUUUUUUAACCCUUAAAUUAAAAAAUAUGUGGUUUAGGAUGACGUGGCGCUCUCUAGGGUUGAGUAAGUAAUUGGUUGAAUAGUAUAAUCUUAACAAGUAAAAAAUUUAAAGGGUUAAAUUUAACGGUAAAAGAAACUCGAUAGCACCAAUUCUUGUGCUAUCGAUAUAUAUUCCAGCGGACUAUAUAUAUAUAUAUAUAUAUAUAUAUAUAUAUAUAUAUAUAUUAUUAUAUAUAUAUUAUAUAUAUAUAUAAUAAACUACUAAUUGGAAACUCUAAUUCGUUUGUUCGGGUUAUAAAUAAGAACUAGUUAUACCGGGGAUAGGUACAAGUAUGAAUUUUUGUAAGAAUAAGAUAUUUUUUUAUUUGGAUGAAAAUAUGGAGUAUAAGAUUGGAACUAGAAAAAUUGUGUUUAUAUAAAAAUGUAAGUAUAAGAUAGAAUAGUUGGUAGUUAUAAAUAAAAAAUAAUGAUAUUACCCUAUAAUUGAAUUUAAAUUUUUAAAUUUAUAAUUUUAAAUUGAAAAUUUUAACUUUUAAAUUUUGAAAUUUUAAAUUUUUAAAUUAUUAAAAGUAAAUUUUAAAAUUUAAAUUUAAAAUAAAAUCUCUUUCUCUCUCUCUCUUCUCUCUCUCUCUCUUGUACAGAGGGGGGGGUGGGCGUUCGGUGGGGGGGGGGUUUGAACAACUUGUUUCCACCCCCAAAAACGUGUUUGGGUAUAAAGGGGGAUAACCCCCUUAUCCCCUUUAUAUCCGAUCCAAACGGUAACUAAAGCAUUCUCCGCAACCCACGACUGGUGGGUCUCGCUUUCCAAUCGUUGCAUAUGUGGGGCCCACUUACGCCGUUAGGCGCUUCACUGUUCCCGUUUUCUCCCCCACCAUUUCUUUUCUCCCUCUUGCUCGCGACCUCCGCCAUGGCGGUCCGCCGUUACCCCAGUCUUUGCCAGGAUGGGCGUGCCAUCCUUGCCAGGACAGAGGAGGUGUGGUUCCGUCGUUGUCUCCACCAUGGCCUAGUGGAGCCGUUGGUACGGCCUUGGCUUCUCAGAUUUCCUGCAGAUUUUUGUGCUGCCUCGGAAGGCGGGCCGUGCUCUCCUGUGAUGUGCCCUCCUGCAACUUGCCAAGGCACCGUGGGAGUCGGUCGCUGGCGUAAAUGGCUCGAUGGGUACGGCAAGUACGAAGGGGGUAUGGUCUCUGUGUCCGGGUGUGUUUCCUGCCCCUUCCUUAUCUGAUAAAUUGAUUGGUCUCUUGUUUAGAAAGAUAGCUUACAAAUACCAGAUUAUUUGCGGUUUGUUUCUCUUUUCCUACUGUUUACUCCUCUCGUUGGUUUCCUUUGACUUUUUUUCCUAUUCUUCACCCCCGCCGCCAUCGGUUCCGUUCGAAUUUGCUCGCUGGUGGUGUAGGUCGAUCGGUUCCCUUUUUUUUUUUAUGCUGCAUAUUCUUUUUUAGGUAUGGCCGUAUGGGGUUGGAAAUUUGCUGAAUUUUUUUCCGCCUUUGGUCUUGCUGGCUGUGUUGCAUCUGUUUGUUUGGCGACUACCAUGAUUAUGGUGCUUUGCGACCUCUUCCCGAAUUUUAUUGUUGUGUUGCAUUUGCUCGCUGGUGCUGUCAGAAAACUGCAUGAUAAGUUGACCUUUGAAGUCAGGGGUUUUAAUUUAGGAGAUAAAAAAAAAUUUAUGAAAAUUUAUAUGAGCGCCUUUGCACGGACCAUUGUUUGCUCGAGAAAUUAUAUAAAUCCUACUAAAGCUACAAGUUCUGAUAUCUUAGCUUUUGGUGUUAGGAAUUGCACUUUUUUUUCUUUUUCUUUUUUUUUAUUAUUUUGUUUCCCUUUUUGUUUCUACAUGUUAGCUUCUUUAUUCCUUUUUUUUUUUUUCCCUUGUGACAGUAGUCUUGCUGCUUGUCACUACCGCGCCGUUGUUACGGUGAAGGCCAGAUUAUUUUGGCCUAUAAAUUGAUGGAGGCUUGGAGGAUUUUUGGUCUUGGGUUCAUUAAAAGUUUGCCUAUUUUUUAUAUAAACGAUUUUAGGACUUUAGAAGACAUUUUCUUGCUAAUAUGAUUUUAUUGAUUUGAAGGAUGGAUGUUUAGACAUUGUUAUUUAGUUUUGAUAGUUUUAAUUUGUUGGUCCUGUAAGUUUGAUGUGGUUCCGACUUGGAGCGAACUUGAUAUAUGAUAUAUUUUAUACUUUGGGGCACUAGUUAAAUCUGAGUUGAACAUGAAAUGAUAUAAUAGUUUUGGCUCAAAUUAAAUUGUUAAAAAAGUUAUUCUCUAACAUGCAGCGGAUUAUUAACCAACUGAUGAAGAUCGAAAGAAAAGAAGAAACCUUUCUAUGAUUUAGCACGUUGAAUAUUUGAUCUAUACUAGAUUAGCCUGCUUCUAAUUUGGAAGAUGUACUGCUACUUUUGAGAAAUUUUGUAUGUAUUAAUUUGAGGCUAGCCCUUUUUGUAUGAGCACCUGCCAUAUUUUGCUAUGUUUAAUCUGCAAUUAAUGAAUCAGAUGGGUAGAACAAGUGCUAGCAAGAGAUUUUGAUUCAUAGGAGUUUAAAUGGGCUGGGCUCAUUGAUUUUGUUCUAUGAUUUGGAGCGAGUCUAGCUAGAUGAAUAAAUAUAAUGAAUAUUGGUUUGGAACUUGGUAUGUAAUUUUUUUUUUUUUUUUUUCUCUUUUACUUAUAGUAGGCUAUGUUAGUUAAUUCGCGAAUUAUUCGCGAAUUAUUGAAAAUCUGAAUUAAACAGUUCGUUUAUGAAAUUUUUCCAAAUAUAGAGAAUUAUUCGCGAAUUUUUGGGCCAACCGAAUAAUUCGCGAAUUAUUGAAAAUAUGAAUAAAAAAUAUAUAAUUUUAUAUUUAAAUAUAGAUUAUAUUAUAUUUUAUAUCUUAUAUUUUAUAUUUUAUACCAAAUUUAUUUUUUAAGCCAAAUUUUUCAAUGAAUUUAAAAAUUAGAAAAUGAAUUUUAUGUGUAGUAUACCUGUACCGAAUUUUUGCCGAAUCCAAAUUAACUAACUAUGAUAGUAGGAGGAUUAGCUUUCUUUGCCUUGAAACCUGCUGCUCUCUCGCUUUUUGCCUUUUGCUUCUUGAUUUUGAGUAUUGGAAUAUAAAAGAGUUGUGUGUUGCAAGUAAACUUGGUAAAUAAAUUGGACCCGUGAGUGUCGAUCGAAGCCAAGAAAAGAUUCAAUCAGAGCUGUGUAUUGUAAGUAAAUCAUAGCCAAAAAAGGAGGAAGGUGCCCUUCGCUUCUGUACUGCAAUAUUCUGAUGUUUAACUCAGCUUGGUUAUUUGAAAUCGAUUGAGAGUUUUUUUUUUUUUUUUUUUUUUUUUUUUUUUUGUGAGAGAUAGGUAGCACGCUACCUGCUUCGUUUAUUUUAUUUAGAAAUAAACUUAGCUGGAAAUGUGAAUCAACUAGGAUUCGAACUUACGUCUCGGAUACCAACCAUCAAACCCUUUGCCACUUGCUUUAGGGACGGUCGGUAAUCGGUUGAGCGUGUUAGAGGGAGAGAAAAGAAGAAAGCUUAUAUAGAGACGAUUUUAUAUUGUUGCAAUUUCUUUGUCUCUGUGUAAGAGAUUUGGAUUUAUUCGAAUGUUAUGUGUUUUUUUUUUGGGGGCUAUGACGAUAGUGUUUCUCAAAUAGUGUGGCUUUUAUCAUGUUUGAAAAGGUUUCAGCUAAUUUGUUUGGGUUUGUAUCUAAGAUCAACAAUAUUUGGAUGGCUUGUUUGGCAUACAACCAUUUGCUACCGAAAUAUUUUUGUGGUAUGUUAUCAAAUCUGAGCUAAAUAGUUUGGAAUUUAUAACUAUUUAUUUUUCGAAUUGCUUUUUGGGUAAUAUUCCUCUUUUAUUGUAGUUUUUUUCUUAAAAAAAAUGUUAAAUUAAUAUUUCAAUUUUGCUUUUGAGAAUAUGCAGAAAUGUUAUUGGAAUUUUGUACUUUGCUCAUAUUUCUAAAUCUACUCGGUUGUAUUUGACGUAAUUAAUGUAAAUCGUGGAGGCAAAUCAUAAAAAAUGUACACUCGUGCAACACAGCUGAUAGAAUUAAUCCUAUAAUAAAUCAAAACCUCAAAACCGUCCGGAUUAAUGAUUUGUUGUGUUUGUAACGGGUUAAGUUACAUUUAUUGUAAUAGGCGAUGGUAUGCUGUGUUAUAAACAAAUUUAUAAAGGGAGAAAAUUAUUGAAGAUGUCUUCAAUAUAACGCAAAUCAUUAUCCGUGUAAGGCAGAUCCAUGUUUGACUAAAUUUGUAUAUUACCCGUUAUUUUGGCAAAUUACACGUUAAUCGUAUUGACUGCUCGUUAUUUUUAAAAUGAUCAUUAAAGAUGUUACAAAUGACAUAUUGUUGUUACAAAUGACAUAUUGUUACAAAUGACAUGUUACAAAUGAUUUGGCACAUGCUUAGUUGUUUCAUAUUACACGUUAUUAUUAUCCAUUAAAAUAGUAUUGAUAUCAUUCUUUCUUGAAGUUCUUGUAGCAAUCAUUUUAAACCAUAAUAUUAUAUGCUGUGUUGAUCAUUACAACCCUAAUCACUAAUAUAUAUAUAUAAGGUUCCUCUUAUCAAGUCACUAUAUAAUGAUUCAUUUACAAACCGUCGUAUUAAAAAGGGCUGGAUCAUAUUUAAUUUGUUCAGCUGACAGCUGAACAAAUCCCCACGUUAUUAGAAAUGAACAAAUCCCCACGUUAUUGGAAAUCAGUUUUAAAAGUUUCCUCCUCUUUUUACUUGUUUUAAGAUCUUAUAUUAUCUACCACCAUACAUUGUCAUUUUUCAAAUAUAUUAUUGUGAUAUUUUAAACAAUAGAUUAUAUUAUGGUCUUUUAAAAAUUGUAUAUUUAUUUAUAUAUUGACCUCGAGAAGUAUAAAAAUGUAAAAAAAAAGACUACGUUGCAGGUAACUCGUAUAUAUAGCCAAAACAUAAACAUCCUCCUUAUAAGCCCACAAAAACAUAAACAGUGAAAUAGAAUUUGGGCCUAAUUUACAGAGCCAUAAAUAAAAAUAAAAGAUAAAAAAAAGUGGAUGUCCGUUUGAGUGGGCUGCUGGGCCAUAUUGGACUGCGAAUGCGGCGGCCCGUAAUCCGUCCACCGUUGAGAGCGGGAGGUGUUCGCUGCUCUGUGAAGCCAGCCUCACGCGUUCCCCUCCACUUCAGGGGCCACUUGACCCAAAGCCUCCGCCUGGGCCCACAUGACCCACAAACCCAACUUGGACCGGGCGGGCCAGCCCCUCGCACAACUGCAGCCCAGACCCAACCACACCAUCAAACGUCCAAGCCCACCCUGUUGCCCCCGCUCGGGUAACAAGCUCUCGCAACUGAGCUCGGCGAUC